This 271-nucleotide non-coding RNA is filed under the name Chloroflexus aurantiacus. RNAcentral describes it as "T-box sequence". It matches the Rfam family "T-box leader". From Rfam's summary of the family: Uncharged tRNA acts as the effector for transcription antitermination of genes in the T-box leader family. Lineage: Bacteria; Bacillati; Chloroflexota; Chloroflexia; Chloroflexales; Chloroflexaceae. The record is from RNAcentral.
AUAACGGCGAUGACGGGGACGAGUAGCUAUCGCCAGCUCUUCAGCGAGCCUGGGGCGGUGUGAGCCGGGUAGAAGCAGCGAUAGUGAACAUCACCCCUGAGCUGGCAGGUGAACCGCGUGAUGGUUUCGUCCGCGCAGUAACCGCGCCCGGAACGCCCACCGUUAGCGGGGCAGAGUGUUGAUCGACACUCGCAAAGUGCGGUGCUUAGUGGCAGGCGCCACAGCAUCGAAUUGGGGUGGUACCGCGGGGUUAAUCUGCCUCGUCCCCUGU